AAGUUAACCUAUAAAGGGGAGGGAGGAAGUCCAUGGGAACUUACGUAAUUCUUGUUUUGUUUUGUUUUUGAUGUAAAAAGUGAGGUUUCGUCGAUAUCUGAUAAUUGUCUCCGAUUAUAUUACCUGGGCAGCCUGGCCAUUCUUUUGUGUUUCAGUUUAAAAAAAAUAAAGUGAUACAGAAAAAGAAGAAGGAAAGGGGAGAGGGAGAAAAACAACAACACAGAUACAUAUAAAAACGAAAAUAUACAAAAAAGGUAGCAAUACAGUGGUACCUCAGGUUAAGUAGUUAAUUCGUUCCGGAGGUCCGUACUUAACCUGAAACUGUUCUUAGCCUGAGACACCACUUUAGCUAAUGGGGCCUCCUGCUGCUGCCGCACUGCCAGAGCACGGUUUCUGUUCUCAUCCUGAAGCAAAGUUCUUAACCUGAGGUACUAUUUCUGGGUUAGCGGAGUCUGUAACCUGAAGCCUAUGUAACCCGAGGUACCACUGUAUAUGAUACUGUAUUCCCAUACAUUCUUAUAUAAAUUGGUAUAGUGUUAUUGUCCUAGUGCAGGCAUAGGCAAACUUGGCCCUCCAGCUGUUUUGGGACUACAACCACUGGUCCUGUUAGCUAGGGGUGAUGGGAGUUGUAGUCCCAAAACAUCUGGAGGGCCGAGUUUGCCUAUGCCUGCCCUAGUGCUUAUGUAAAAGCUAAUAGCCUACUAAAUUUUGCAUAAACUCAUUCCAAAUGCUAUCGUAUUUAUCCAUACAGAGUCUGCGCCUGUAAGCAGUCUGUUCAUAAAUUGCCAUUGAUGUCAUAUUGUCAGUCCAUUGAUUGAAGGGUAUAGCAUAUCUUUAUUUUUCCAAUUCCUCAGUAUCAAUCUUUUGGUCACCGUUAAGGCAUAUCCAUUGUCCUGUUGAUAAUUUCCAUACUGUAGGUAUAUAGUUCAAUAAAAUAUUCUCUGCUGAAAGAGUUAACUUUUUCUGCACAGUCAUAUAGUUACACACUCCAGCACUUUCUCCCAAAGCUUGUUAAGUAAAGAGCACUGUGCAAACAUGUCUUUCAGAGAGACAUAUUUCAGAAAGCCUGAAAUGAUAUGAUUUAGCCACAAGAGGGUAGCCACACAGUGUAUUGUCGAUUAAAUGCUUUGGGAGUAUUAUUCCUCCAGGUGGCGCUGGUCCAAGCCUGCGCGGGAAAUUUUGGAUUUCCGCCUAAAGUCAGCAACACAGACUUACAAUAGCAAUAAUGAUAGACUGCUAACUCCAUUGCUUGAAGAUGAGAUAGUCUGGUUCCUUAGAUGCACAGGAAGCAGAAGAUGCCACAGAUGUUUUAUCCCUGCCUGCCUCUCAGCCUUACAUGUCUGAAACACAAAAGCAGCAGAAAUAACCUACAACGAGCCUCUGUUGCCCAGUAUGAGCCAGGGGUCUACAUACCCUCAACACUGACUUAUAUUUCUUCACAUGUAGCUUGAGGACCAUGGGACAAUAUGUCCACAGAUCUCCUUCCCAUAGGUGAUUGAAUGUGAAAAUUAUUGUUACUGUGUUCAUUAGUCAGAAUCUUUAUUUGUUUGCAGCAAUGGGAUUACUAUUACAAUCAAACCAGCCUUUUACCCAAUUUCAUUUUAUGAAUCUGAAAUAAAUAGGGAAGGGAGAAAAUUGAGACCCCUCUCCACACAUUACUAAUAACCCCGUGUAGUAUUUAUGGGUUUUUAAAAAAACUUUUUAUUAACACAUACUGCAUUACUUCAUUAAUUUAGACUCAUGGGCUUAAUUUUUUCUGUACGGUUUUUGCAUGCUUGAAAAACAAGGUACUGCUUAUUAAUGAACAGAUAGAUUGCUUUUCAAAAUUCCUCCAUAAAAUGAGCAUUUAAAAACUUUGUGAUUUUAAACUUUUAUCCUAUGAUAAAAGAACUGCUUGGAAUGACAUAAAUCUUCAACACAUGUCUAGAAAUAAUAAUAAUAAUUAUUACUAAACAUUUAGAAAAAUCUAAAAUUUUCAAAGCACUGCACACAUAUUGAUAGUAAAAAUGGCCCUUGCCUCCAAGCUUGCAAUGAUACACAUGAUACAAAAGGGAAAAGGAAUGGGAAGGGAAGAGGAAAGCAAACAUUUGAAGCCAAUGGAUGGGGCCAGGCCCAGUGGUGGAGGAAUCCUCUCCAGCACCCGGGGCGGUGCAGCCCGUGCAGACUGCGCAUGUGCGGCAUCUCACGCGUGUGCACUCCUUAUGGAAUGCCGCACAUGCAGAGUCCAUAUGGGCUGCCGCUCGAGCAGUAUCCCAUACGGACUGCACAUGCCCUCGGUCGUUCUACAGCUGGGGGGAGGCAGGGGCCAUCUUGUCACCCCUCCCAGAGUGGCACCCGGGACGGACCGCCCCCUCCACCCCCCUUCCUACACCCCUGGCCAGGCCAGGCCCUGGCCACCCCUGGUCUUCUUCUCCAAUAUGUGAGCUGCAUUUUUGUGUAAGCCCAUCUAUGUUGGUACCUUUUUCUUAGAAGUGCUUCUUGCUUUUCAAUCUAGGACUUCAAGGCAAGGGUAAGCAACAUCUCCACAAUUAAGAAAUUCUUGGAGCCAGGCAGCCAGAGGAAAUUUGAAUUAGACGACAAGGCUCUUCAAGAGAUCAGGAAGAUUUUUAAUGUCUGAGAACAUCUGCUAUGAAGAUCACUACAAAUACUGGCAUGAUUUUAACAAAUCUGUGUGACUUCUCUCUUACCAGUUGGAGGAUUAACAGUGUAGUCCUAUUCAUGUCUAUUCAGCAUUAGUUCCAUUUGAAUUCAGUGUAGCUUACUUCUGGGUAAAUGUAGGUAUAGGAUUGGAGCCUAAAUCCGUAAAAUAGUAUUUCCUCUUGGUUCCAUAAUCUCAAAUGCUUUUGAUUGCAAACUCUUGAAAAAUGUAGUAGAUGAGAACUCUUUUGUGAAGAUUCUGAGGCCUCCUUUAGAUAUUAGUCUAAUGCAACCUUCCCAAACCUGGUAUGAAACCUUCCAGGGGUUUUGGACUACAGCUCCCAUCAGACACAGCCAGCAUGACCAGCAGUCAAAGAAUGAAAUUGCUAGAGCCAGCAAACAUUUGAUAUUGUGCAAGGAUUUUUUUCAGCCGGAACUCACUGGAACUGAGUUCCACCACCUCUCUGGUGCAUUCCAGAGUUCAAAUGCUACUGAGUAGAGAAUCACCAUAAUGGCACUGUGUAAAUCCACAAAAGGAGAUGAAGAUAAUACUGUGUGAUGGUACAAUAAAAUGAAAUAAAGCAUUCUACAGCGUUUGUACUUCA
Non-coding RNA from Podarcis lilfordi (Lilford's wall lizard), 3242 nucleotides. The record is from the annotation of a GenBank genome assembly. Lineage: Eukaryota; Metazoa; Chordata; Lepidosauria; Squamata; Lacertidae.